GAGCGGACAGAUGGGAGCUUGCUCCCUGAUGUUAGCGGCGGACGGGUGAGUAACACGUGGGUAACCUGCCUGUAAGACUGGGAUAACUCCGGGAAACCGGGGCUAAUACCGGAUGGUUGUCUGAACCGCAUGGUUCAGACAUAAAAGGUGGCUUCGGCUACCACUUACAGAUGGACCCGCGGCGCAUUAGCUAGUUGGUGAGGUAACGGCUCACCAAGGCGACGAUGCGUAGCCGACCUGAGAGGGUGAUCGGCCACACUGGGACUGAGACACGGCCCAGACUCCUACGGGAGGCAGCAGUAGGGAAUCUUCCGCAAUGGACGAAAGUCUGACGGAGCAACGCCGCGUGAGUGAUGAAGGUUUUCGGAUCGUAAAGCUCUGUUGUUAGGGAAGAACAAGUGCCGUUCAAAUAGGGCGGCACCUUGACGGUACCUAACCAGAAAGCCACGGCUAACUACGUGCCAGCAGCCGCGGUAAUACGUAGGUGGCAAGCGUUGUCCGGAAUUAUUGGGCGUAAAGGGCUCGCAGGCGGUUUCUUAAGUCUGAUGUGAAAGCCCCCGGCUCAACCGGGGAGGGUCAUUGGAAACUGGGGAACUUGAGUGCAGAAGAGGAGAGUGGAAUUCCACGUGUAGCGGUGAAAUGCGUAGAGAUGUGGAGGAACACCAGUGGCGAAGGCGACUCUCUGGUCUGUAACUGACGCUGAGGAGCGAAAGCGUGGGGAGCGAACACGAUUAUAUACCCUGGUAGUCCACGCCGUAAACGAUGAGUGCUAACUGUUAGGGGGUUUCCGCCCCUUAGUGCUGCAGCUAACGCAUUAAGCAC
This 822-nucleotide ribosomal RNA is filed under the name Bacillus velezensis. RNAcentral's name for it is "bacterial SSU rRNA". It matches the Rfam family "Bacterial small subunit ribosomal RNA", at positions 64 to 867 of the family's 1533-position model. Lineage: Bacteria; Bacillati; Bacillota; Bacilli; Caryophanales; Bacillaceae. The record is from RNAcentral.